GACGGAGAGUUUGAUCCUGGCUCAGGACGAACGCUGGCGGCGUGCCUCAAACAUGCAAGUCGAGGGAGGGUUGCUCGGGGGCUUGCCCCCGGGUUCAACUCUACCGGCGAACGGGUGAGUAACACGUGGGUAACCUGCCCUGAAGACGGGGAUAACCUCGGGAAACCGGGGCUAAUACCCGAUACCCUCACCGGAGGGCAUCCUCUGGUGAGGAAAGGUCCGCAAGGUCCGCUUCAGGAUGGGCCCGCGGCGUAUCAGCUCGUUGGUGAGGUAACGGCUCACCAAGGCGAUGACGCGUAGCUGGCCUGAGAGGGUGGUCAGCCACACUGGGACUGAGACACGGCCCAGACUCCUACGGGAGGCAGCAGUUGGGAAUCUUGGGCAAUGGGCGCAAGCCUGACCCAGCGACGCCGCGUG
RNAcentral lists this ribosomal RNA (417 nucleotides) under Bacillota bacterium. RNAcentral describes it as "bacterial SSU rRNA". It matches the Rfam family "Bacterial small subunit ribosomal RNA", at positions 1 to 403 of the family's 1533-position model. Lineage: Bacteria; Bacillati; Bacillota. The record is from RNAcentral.